CAUAGAUGAUGAUGAGGGAGAUAUAUUUGAAGAGGAUGAGGGAUACCUGUUUGCUGGGCAUGAUGAGGAAGAUGAUGACGAUGUCCAAGACAAUGACCUUGAGGAAGAUACGGCGUCUAUCCCUAAAGUACCUAACCAAUGUGACGAGGUGUAUAGUAACAUGCCUACUGAUACCCAUAUGCUAAAACCUAUCGCAAAUUGUGACCACUGCAAUGCGAAAAGGUUUGAGCAUGAAUCACCUGGGUUUUGUUGUCGCAGCGGGAAGAUCGAGCUCAAUGAACCGAAUGUACCUAA
This is a long non-coding RNA of Sorghum bicolor (sorghum), 294 nucleotides long. RefSeq lists it as uncharacterized. The transcript is spliced from 2 exons. Lineage: Eukaryota; Viridiplantae; Streptophyta; Magnoliopsida; Poales; Poaceae. The record is from RefSeq and is a predicted model, not a curated record.